ACCUGGGUGGCUCAGUCGGUUGAGCGUCCGACUUUGGCUCGGGUCAUGAUCUCACGGUUCGCAGGUUCGAGCCCCGCAUCGGGCU
RNAcentral lists this transfer RNA (85 nucleotides) under Felis catus (domestic cat). It matches the Rfam family "tRNA". Rfam says of the family: Transfer RNA (tRNA) molecules are approximately 80 nucleotides in length. Their secondary structure includes four short double-helical elements and three loops (D, anti-codon, and T loops). Further hydrogen bonds mediate the characteristic L-shaped molecular structure. tRNAs have two regions of fundamental functional importance: the anti-codon, which is responsible for specific mRNA codon recognition, and the 3' end, to which the tRNAs corresponding amino acid is attached (by aminoacyl-tRNA synthetases). tRNAs cope with the degeneracy of the genetic code in two manners: having more than one tRNA (with a specific anti-codon) for a particular amino acid; and 'wobble' base-pairing, i.e. permitting non-standard base-pairing at the 3rd anti-codon position. The record is from Rfam by way of RNAcentral. Lineage: Eukaryota; Metazoa; Chordata; Mammalia; Carnivora; Felidae.